UUGUAAUGAUGUCUCAAAUGUCUGACCUGAAGUCAAUAUGUGGAAGUAUAAACACUGAUCUG
This 62-nucleotide small nucleolar RNA is filed under the name Xenopus laevis (African clawed frog). Lineage: Eukaryota; Metazoa; Chordata; Amphibia; Anura; Pipidae. The record is from RNAcentral.